Molecule: long non-coding RNA, 271 nt
Filed under: Linum usitatissimum (flax)
Lineage: Eukaryota; Viridiplantae; Streptophyta; Magnoliopsida; Malpighiales; Linaceae
Description: long non-coding RNA (LUSI_LNC006730)
Source: RNAcentral
UGAGCAAGGAUGUGAGCUGAUGUGUUUAUUUCUCAUUAGGCUAAACACCAGCCACGAAUAACAAGUCGGCCAGCCAUCUCAAGAAUGCCUCAACAAAUAGUUCCCAACUCUGAUCUGCAGUAUUCUUUGCUACAGAGUAAGUCCACUAUCUUCUUACAAUCUGAUUCAAUACAUAAAGGACCAUAUCUCACAGAAGCAGCCCAUGCGGUUUUUAUUGGCUGGUUGAAAUAGCUCUUGUUUAUUUAAUUUUUAUUUAUGUAGUCAUAUUAAU